AGGGAGACACAACUGAUCGUGAUGUCUGAGCGCCGACCAAGCAUAAGUUUGGGAAGCAUAUUUGUCUUAGGCCACGGUCCUGUCAUCUCGAAGGUCGAUCGGUACCUCAAGGUGAGCCAUCAAAGCCARGGAGAAGUCUAAAGAGCUCGAAAGAGCAGGAAGGAUUGUUCUAAGGAUGUUGUGAUGGACUUAUUUUCAGUUCCUAAACUUUGUCUAGGUCACCCCACAAAGGGUUUCCGCACUUUACCGAGAUUCAAGCUUAAAAAGCAAUGAAUCGAGGGARCAGAUCGGGAGCUUGUGUCGAAGUGAUUGAUCCUGGGCCAUUAGCUCAGGUGGUUAGAGCGCACCCCUGAUAAGGGUGAGGUCCCUGGUUCAAGUCCAGGAUGGCCCAUUCGUGUUUGGGGGUUUAGCUCAGUKGKUAGAGCGCCUGCUUUGCAAGCAGRAKKYMRSSGGUUCGAGUCCGCUAACCUCCAUCCAACGAGGAGAAAGCCACCAGCAGGAAACGGCAACAGGAUGCAUUUUGAUAGGUGAGGUGACAAAGACCAUGUUCAGCUGAGGACUCCAGCCUCUUUUCAUUCCCAAUUGAUAGCUUGCUAUUUUAAGUAAGUUUAAAUCAAUGAUGGUUGAAAGGAAGCUGGACUCGCUGAUUUUGGCAUCCGCCAAGGAUCAGUGACUCUAGCAAAGAACCUUGACAACUGCAUAGGUGAGUCUGGAUAAAUAAGCAUCUCAUAGAUGCCCAGACGGACGCGAACGAUACUUGGUACUGCCAGGUGUGGAGAGUGUCUGGCUGGGAGAUUCUUGAGUUUAGAGCCGAGAGCUUCCAGCGUCUUUUCGCUCCGCCGAGGAGGGAAGAGUUUGAUUUUGUCUUUCAAACCAUCAAAGCCCAAGAGAGCUAGGGAAACCAAGUAAUCAAAGGGUAGAGAGAAGUGAAAGCAAAAGAAUGGGUCUCAACAACCCUGAACGUUGGGAGUGUUAAUU
This 978-nucleotide unclassified non-coding RNA is filed under the name Synechococcus sp. CCY0426. RNAcentral describes it as "16S-23S ribosomal RNA intergenic spacer". The stretch from base 318 to 391 matches the Rfam family "tRNA". Lineage: Bacteria; Bacillati; Cyanobacteriota; Cyanophyceae; Synechococcales; Synechococcaceae. The record is from RNAcentral.